This 460-nucleotide ribosomal RNA is filed under the name Selenomonas sp. oral taxon H30. RNAcentral's name for it is "bacterial SSU rRNA". It matches the Rfam family "Bacterial small subunit ribosomal RNA", at positions 28 to 471 of the family's 1533-position model. The record is from RNAcentral. Lineage: Bacteria; Bacillati; Bacillota; Negativicutes; Selenomonadales; Selenomonadaceae.
GACGAACGCUGGCGGCGUGCUUAACACAUGCAAGUCGAACGGGAUGAUCUUAAAGCUUGCUUUUAGAGAAUCUAGUGGCAAACGGGUGAGUAACACGUAGACAACCUGCCGACAGGAUGGGGACAACAUUCCGAAAGGAAUGCUAAUACCGAAUGAAGUCAGAGAAGGGCAUCCUUUUCUGAUGAAAGAUGGCCUCUUUUUAUGCUAUCACCUGUUGAUGGGUCUGCGUCUGAUUAGCUAGUUGGUGAGGUAACGGCUCACCAAGGCGACGAUCAGUAGCCGGUCUGAGAGGAUGAACGGCCACAUUGGGACUGAGACACGGCCCAGACUCCUACGGGAGGCAGCAGUGGGGAAUCUUCCGCAAUGGGCGCAAGCCUGACGGAGCAACGCCGCGUGAGUGAAGAAGGUCUUCGGAUCGUAAAGCUCUGUUGACGGGGACGAACGUGCGGAGUGCGAAUAG